RNAcentral lists this ribosomal RNA (999 nucleotides) under Triticum aestivum (bread wheat). RNAcentral's name for it is "partial small subunit ribosomal RNA". Lineage: Eukaryota; Viridiplantae; Streptophyta; Magnoliopsida; Poales; Poaceae. The record is from RNAcentral.
AGGCUGCGAGUUGGGCGCGCUGCUCCGGAUAGAGUGCCAUGUGCUGGUAGAGUUACUCCUUUCAAAGAAACCAUAAGGAAAUAUGCUGACAAACCUUCAGAAGUUGUAAUAAAGCCGGAGAUUGGGAUGAGUUUCGAUUCCCUUGGAGAAGUGUACGAUUUCUGUAACCUCUAUUCAUGGGAACUUGGAGGUAUACGAUACGGCAAGAGUUGUUAAAAUGUUGAGAGGAUUAAAUGUAUGCAAGAGAUUAUCUGUGGAUGCUCGGGAAACCCUGAGCAAGAGAAUAGCCGGUCUUGCCGUUGCGAGUGUCCUGCGAUGGUCAGAUUACUAAGAGCUAUAGACAAUGGAUGGUACACUGUAGAGCACCGGUCAGGUCACAAUCAUUCCAUGUCUCUUACGUGCGGAGAAAAGGUUCAUUGGCCAUCCCACAAACACAUAGACAUUUACACAAAAGACUUGUUGAAACAACUUAGGGCAGACAAUGUGAACCUCAACAAGGUGUAUAUCAUAGUUGGCAGCUUAUUCGGUUCAUCAAAGGGCGUAGCUUUCACAAAAAGGUCAUUACACAAUCUGUGUGGGCGAAUAAGCCGAGACCAAGCUGAUGAUGAUGUCAACAAAACUCAAGCUGUGUUCAAAGAGAUUCAGCAGAACGACACGGAAUUCACCUACAGAGUCCAGGGCGAUGAGGAGAGCAGAAUCAAAGACCUUAUGUGGACAAACGGAAACAGCAAGUUGCAGUACAAGUUCUUCGGCGAUGUUAUCACAUUCGACACGACGUAUCGGACGAACUUGUACGACAUGCCCUUUGGUUUGUUUGUUGGAGUGAACAAUCAUUUUCAAAGCAUAAUACUAGCUGGUAUUCUGAUGCGUGAUGAACAAGUGAAGAGCUUCCAAUGGUUAUUUUCUGAAUUCAUCAACAUGAUGGGCGGCAAACAUCCGCAGACAAUAUUGACAGGUUUGUGCCAACCUCGAAAAAACGAUGCAUAUGUAGAUAUGUAG